AGCAGCCGCGGUAAUUCCAGCUCCAAUAGCGUAUAUUAAAGUUGUUGCAGUUAAAAAGCUCGUAGUUGAAUUUCGGGGUUAGUAGGUUGGUCAUGCCUCUGGUAUGUACUGGUCUCACUGAUUCCUCCUUCCUGAUGAGCCGUAAUGCCAUUAAUUUGGUGUUGCGGGGAAUCUGGACUGUUACUUUGAAAAAAUUAGAGUGUUUAAAGCAAGCUAACGCUUGAAUACAUUAGCAUGGAAUAAUGAAAUAGGACGUUCGAUCCUAUUUUGUUGGUUUCUAGGAUUGACGUAAUGAUUAAUAGGGAUAGUUGGGGGGCAUUAGUAUUCAAUUGUCAGAGGUGAAAUUCUUGGAUUUAUUGAAGACUAACUACUGCGAAAGCAUUUGCCAAGGAUGUUUUUCAUUAAUCAAGAACGAAAGUUAGGGGAUCGAAGACGAUCAGAUACCGUCGUAGUCUUAACCAUAAACUAUGCCGACUAGGGAUCGGAUGAUGUUAAUUUUUUUAAUGACUCAUUCGGCGCC
This 520-nucleotide unclassified non-coding RNA is filed under the name uncultured Glomus. RNAcentral's name for it is "SSU rRNA". It matches the Rfam family "Eukaryotic small subunit ribosomal RNA", at positions 569 to 1087 of the family's 1831-position model. Lineage: Eukaryota; Fungi; Glomeromycota; Glomeromycetes; Glomerales; Glomeraceae. The record is from RNAcentral.